Molecule: long non-coding RNA, 976 nt
Filed under: Ananas comosus (pineapple)
Lineage: Eukaryota; Viridiplantae; Streptophyta; Magnoliopsida; Poales; Bromeliaceae
Description: long non-coding RNA (ACOM_LNC006383)
Source: RNAcentral
AACUAAUUAACCCUCGCACACUGCACGACUUUUAAAGUGUAAUACUAGUGUAGAGACCCGCGCGAUGCAGCGGGUAGAUAAUAAAAGCAAAAUUUAAAAAUUGUAAUAAAACUUAUAUUUACAGUUUAUUGAUAUAUAGAAAGUUAUACCAUAUUAAAUACAUCCAAUUUGCAUGACUAAGUUCACAUGGUGAGUAGGGGCCCCGCAAGGACCGGCUCAGCAGACACUUAUAUGGGCCGUGGCUUGGCUUCGCGGAAUGAUACUUCUCGAAGGAGACAAUGUUCUUUAGAGGCUCCUUUUUUUCUUCUUCUUCAUUAUCUUCGUUAAGAUAAUGAGAGAAAGAGGGAGAUGAGUGUGGAGUGGGAGAUUAGAAGAUAAUAUAUUUUUUUAUGAUGCAUAAAAAAAAAUUACAAAAGAGACGGGUGGGAGAUUAAUGGAAAAGAGUUACAAAAGAGAUAGGGUGAGAGAUUAAUGGAGGAGGGGAGUGAAUUAAAGUUAUAAAGCUCACUCAUUGAUGGAAUAUUAAUAUGAUGCAUAUAAUUAAAUAUUGCACCUUACAUGUAAUUAGAUGAGUGGGGAUGUGAAGGGUUGGGCGGUGAGAAGAGGAGAAGGCGAUUUGAUUUAAAGUUUGAUUUAAAGUUGCAUGUAAAUGUAAUUAGAGGAGUGAGAAGGUGAAAGGUUGGGUGUUGAGAAGAUGAGAAAGUGGUUUGAUUUAAAGUUGGGUUAUGAGAAUAAAAGAUAACAUGCCACGUGGUAAAAAAUAUUGUGGCUUCAUAUAGGUUUAUAGAUAAAUUGUUUUUUUUUUUUUUUUUGAGAAAUAGAUAGCACGCUACCCGCUUUGUUUAUUUCAUUUAGAAAUAAAUUUAGCUGGAAAUGUGAAUCAACCAGGAUUCAAAUUUGGAUCUCGGAUACCAACGACCAAGCCCUUUGUCACUUGCUCUAAGGAUAGUCGGUAUAAUAUAAAUUGUUCUCUCAU